This 229-nucleotide ribosomal RNA is filed under the name uncultured bacterium. RNAcentral describes it as "partial 16S ribosomal RNA". It matches the Rfam family "Bacterial small subunit ribosomal RNA", at positions 107 to 334 of the family's 1533-position model. The record is from RNAcentral.
UGAGUAACACGUAUCCAACCUGCCUCAUACUCUUGGCCAGCCUUCUGAAAGGAAGAUUAAUCCAGGAUGGCAUCAUGAGUUCACAUGUCCGCAUGAUUAAAGGUAUUUUCCGGUAGACGAUGGGGAUGCGUUCCAUUAGAUAGUAGGCGGGGUAACGGCCCACCUAGUCAACGAUGGAUAGGGGUUCUGAGAGGAAGGUCCCCCACAUUGGAACUGAGACACGGUCCAA